UGUCAGCAGCCGCGGUAAUACAUAGGGUGCAAGCGUUGUCCGGAAUUAUUGGGCGUAAAGAGCUCGUAGGUGGUUCGUCACGUCGGAUGUGAAAAUCUGGGGCUUAACCCCAGACCUGCAUUCGAUACGGGCGAGCUAGAGUGUGGUAGGGGAGACUGGAAUUCCUGGUGUAGCGGUGGAAUGCGCAGAUAUCAGGAGGAACACCAAUGGCGAAGGCAGGUCUCUGGGCCAUUACUGACACUGAGGAGCGAAAGCGUGGGGAGCGAACAGGAUUAGAUACCCUGGUAGUCCACGCCGUAAACGGUGGGCACUAGUUGUGGGAACCUUCCACGGUUUCUGCGACGCAGCUAACGCAUUAAGUGCCCCGCCUGGGGAGUACGAUCGCAAGAUUAAAACUCAAAUAAAUUGACGG
This 412-nucleotide ribosomal RNA is filed under the name uncultured Sporichthyaceae bacterium. Its description in RNAcentral is "bacterial SSU rRNA". It matches the Rfam family "Bacterial small subunit ribosomal RNA", at positions 506 to 916 of the family's 1533-position model. Lineage: Bacteria; Bacillati; Actinomycetota; Actinomycetes; Sporichthyales; Sporichthyaceae. The record is from RNAcentral.